AUUGCCUCAGUAACGGCGAGUGAAGCGGCAACAGCUCAAAUUUGAAAUCUGGCCUCUUUGGGGUCCGAGUUGUAAUUUGUAGAGGAUGUUUCGGGUACCGCCUCGGUUUAAAUUUCUUGGAACAGAAUGUCAGAGAGGGUGAGAAUCCCGUCUUGGACCGGCGGUAGGGCCCAUGUGAAACUCCUUCGACGAGUCGAGUUGUUUGGGAAUGCAGCUCAAAAUGGGUGGUAAAUUUCAUCUAAAGCUAAAUAUUGGCCAGAGACCGAUAGCGCACAAGUAGAGUGAUCGAAAGAUGAAAAGAACUUUGAAAAGAGAGUUAAACAGUAUGUGAAAUUGUUGAAAGGGAAGCGCUUGCAACCAGACUUGAGCGCGGCGGUUCCCCCUUCCUUUUGGUUGGGUUACUCCGCCGUGUCCAGGCCAACAUCGGUUCUGGGGGUCGGUUAAAGGCCCGGGGAAUGUACCUACUCCUUCGGGGGUAGACUUAUAGCCCCGGGUGUCAUGCGACCACCCGGGACCGAGGAACGCGCUUCGGCUCGGAUGUUGGCGUAAUGGUUGUCAGCGACCCGUCUUGAAACACGGACCAAGGAGUCUAACAUCUAUGCGAGUGUUUGGGUGUCAAACCCGGAACGCGAAAUGAAAGUGAACGGAGGUAGGAAGCCUUUGGGCUGCACUAUCGACCGAUCCUGAUGUCUUCGGAUGGAUUUGAGUAAGAGCAUAGCUGUUGGGACCCGAAAGAUGGUGAACUAUGCCUGAAUAGGGUGAAGCCAGAGGAAACUCUGGUGGAGGCUCGCAGCGGUUCUGACGUGCAAAUCGAUCGUCAAAUUUGGGUAUAGGGGCGAAAGACUAAUCGAACCAUCUGGUAGCUGGUUCCUGCCGAAGUUUCCCUCAGGAUAGCAGUAACGAAAUCAGUUUUAUGAGGUAAAGCGAAUGAUUAGAGGCCUUGGGGUUGAAACAACCUUAACCUAUUCUCAAACUUUAAAUAUGUAAGAAGCCCUUGUUGCUUAAUUGAACGUGGGCAUUUGAAUGUAUCGUUACUAGUGGGCCAUUUUUGGUAAGCAGAACUGGCGAUGCGGGAUGAACCGAACGUGAGGUUAAGGUGCCGGAAUGCACGCUCAUCAGACACCACAAAAGGUGUCAAUGCAUCUAGACAGCCGGACGGUGGCCAUGGAAGUCGGAAUCCGCUUAGGAGUGUGUAACAACUCACCGGCCGAAUGCAUUGGCCCUGAAAAUGGAUGGCGCUUAAGCGUGCUACCUAUACCUCGCCGUUAGGGUUGACAUGAUGCCCUAACGAGUAGGCAGGCGUGGAGGUCCGUGACGAAGC
Molecule: ribosomal RNA, 1321 nt
Filed under: Exophiala nigra
Lineage: Eukaryota; Fungi; Ascomycota; Eurotiomycetes; Chaetothyriales; Herpotrichiellaceae
Description: LSU rRNA
Rfam family: Eukaryotic large subunit ribosomal RNA
Source: RNAcentral